Molecule: ribosomal RNA, 600 nt
Filed under: uncultured marine bacterium
Lineage: Bacteria
Description: bacterial SSU rRNA
Rfam family: Bacterial small subunit ribosomal RNA
Source: RNAcentral
AGAGUAUGAUCCUGGCUCAGAUUGAACGCUGGCGGCAGGCCUAACACAUGCAAGUCGAGCGCGAAAGCACUUCGGUGUGAGUAGAGCGGCGGACGGGUGAGUAACGCGUGGAAUCUACCUGGUAGUGGAGGAUAACUCGAGGAAACUCGAGCUAAUACUGCGUACGCCCUACGGGGGAAAGCGGGGGAUCUUCGGACCUCGCGCUAUCAGAUGAGCCCGCGUCAGAUUAGCUUGUUGGUGAGGUAAUGGCUCACCAAGGCGACGAUCUGUAGCUGGUCUGAGAGGAUGAUCAGCCACAUUGGGACUGAGACACGGCCCAAACUCCUACGGGAGGCAGCAGUGGGGAAUAUUGCGCAAUGGGGGAAACCCUGACGCAGCCAUGCCGCGUGUGUGAAGAAGGCUUUCGGGUUGUAAAGCACUUUCAAUAGGGAGGAAAGGUUGCAGAUUAAUACUCUGUAGCUGUGACGUUACCUAUAGAAGAAGCACCGGCUAACUCCGUGCCAGCAGCCGCGGUAAUACGGAGGGUGCAAGCGUUAAUCGGAAUUACUGGGCGUAAAGCGCGCGUAGGCGGCUUCGUCAGUUGGAUGUGAAAGCCCCGGG